ACAGAAAUAAAUAUGUCUCUUAUCAGAUGAGAGCAGUAAGGACGGUCAGCUGCUCGAUCUGCACUCUCAGCUGGAGGAUUUCUCUCUUGCUGCGGACAGCUUCCUCCUGAUACUCCGACACCGUCUUCUCCACCAGUCCGAAGACUUCCUCUACAGCCGCCUCCAGCCGCUCGCUGACCCGCAGCUUGAGCAGCAGCGUCGACGACAUCAUGGAGCUCCGACAGCAAAUGUUAUGGGCGAAACAGACACUUUCAAAUCCUAACCCUAAAUAUCAGCCGUUUCAAGUACCAACUGCCAGACUGUAGUAAACUAACCGUUAGUUUGUACUUCCGGUUCGACGUCAUGACGUACCGCUAAUGAGCAAAAACAAACAGUAGUCUUAUCUAUAUUAUGUUAUUAUUAUAUAUCUGUAUUUUUAGGGAAAUUUCAUAUCCAUAAAUAAAAUGGGCUGACUCCAAAACAAUAUAUUAGCACUAUUAAAAACAUUAGGAAAAAGGCAAUCAAAAGUAAUUUGAUUGAAAAAAAAUAUUUAAUAUGAAGUAUCAAAAUGUAUUUUUCUUUCCGUUUUUUCUUUGGUUACUGUAUGUAAUGUCUUGUUGCUUUUUUGUCUGCCCCUGGACUUUGUCUGUUGUAGCCUAUGUCAAAUGUAUGAUGUUCAUGUAUGACAUUGAAUAGAUGAAUAAAAACAUUUUUAAAAA
Long non-coding RNA from Gymnodraco acuticeps, 698 nucleotides. RefSeq lists it as uncharacterized. NCBI's taxonomy places the organism in Eukaryota, Metazoa, Chordata, Actinopteri, Perciformes, Bathydraconidae. The record is from RefSeq and is a predicted model, not a curated record. The transcript is spliced from 2 exons.